GGUGGGGAGAGGAGGGAUGGAGCAAGGGGGAGGUGGGGAGAGGAGGGAUGGAGCAAGGGAGAGGUGAGGAGAGGAGGGAUGGAGCAAGGGAGAGGUGGGGAGAGGAGGGACGGAGCAAGGGAGAGGUGAGGAGAGGAGGGAUGGAGCAAGGGAGAGGUGGGGAGAGGAGGGAUGGAGCAAGGGAGAGGUGAGGAGAGGAGGGACGGAGCAAGGGAGAGGUGAGGAGAGGAGGGACGGAGCAAGGGAGAGGUGAGGAGAGGAGGGACGGAGCAAGGGAGAGGUGAGGAGAGGAGGGACGGAGCAAGGGAGAGGUGAGGAGAGGAGGGACGGAGCAAGGGAGAGGUGAGGAGAGGAGGGACGGAGCAAGGGAGAGGUGAGGAGAGGAGGGACGGAGCAAGGGAGAGGUGAGGAGAGGAGGGACGGAGCAAGGGAGAGGUGGGGAGAGGAUGGACGGAGCAAGGGAGAGGUGAGGAGAGGAGGGAUGGAGCAAGGGAGAGGUGGGGAGAGGAGGGACGGAGCAAGGGAGAGGUGAGGAGAGGAGGGAUGGAGCAAGGGAGAGGUGAGGAGAGGAGGGACGGAGCGAGGGAGAGGUGGGGAGAGGAGGGAUGGAGCAAGGGAGAGGUGGGGAGAGGAGGGACGGAGCAAGGGAGAGGUGAGGAGAGGAGGGAUGGAGCAAGGGAGAGGUGGGGAGAGGAGGGACGGAGCAAGGGAGAGGUGAGGAGAGGAGGGAUGGAGCAAGGGAGAGGUGGGGAGAGGAGGGAUGGAGC
Oncorhynchus keta (chum salmon) is the source of this 767-nucleotide long non-coding RNA. RefSeq lists it as uncharacterized. The record is from RefSeq and is a predicted model, not a curated record. Lineage: Eukaryota; Metazoa; Chordata; Actinopteri; Salmoniformes; Salmonidae. The transcript has 3 exons.